Molecule: ribosomal RNA, 467 nt
Filed under: uncultured bacterium
Lineage: Bacteria
Description: partial 16S ribosomal RNA
Rfam family: Bacterial small subunit ribosomal RNA
Source: RNAcentral
GAUGAACGCUGGCGGCGUGCUUAACACAUGCAAGUCGAACGGAAAGGCCUCAGCUUGCUGGGGUGCUCGAGUGGCGAACGGGUGAGUAACACGUAGGUGAUCUGCCUUUCACUUCGGGAUAAGCUUGGGAAACUGGGUCUAAUACCGGAUAUUCACGGCACCGUGGUUGGUGUGGUGGAAAGCUUUUGCGGUGGGAGAUGAGCUUGCGGCCUAUCAGCUUGUUGGUGGGGUAAUGGCCUACCAAGGCGGCGACGGGUAGCCGGCCUGAGAGGGUGUGCGGGCACAUUGGGACUGAGAUACGGCCCAGACUCCUACGGGAGGCAGCAGUGGGGAAUUUUGCACAAUGGGCGGAAGCCUGAUGCAGCGACGCCGUGUGGGGGAUGAAGGCCUUCGGGUUGUAAACUCCUGUCGUCAGGGACGAAGUUUGUUUGACGGUACCUGGAUAAGAAGCACCGGCUAACUACGUG